GCUCCUGUAGUUCAACAGGAUAGAACGACUCUCUCCUAAGGAGUAAAUACAGGUUCGAGCCCUGUCGGGGGUA
RNAcentral lists this transfer RNA (73 nucleotides) under candidate division SR1 bacterium CG_4_9_14_3_um_filter_40_9. Its description in RNAcentral is "tRNA-Arg". It matches the Rfam family "tRNA". Rfam says of the family: Transfer RNA (tRNA) molecules are approximately 80 nucleotides in length. Lineage: Bacteria; Candidatus Absconditibacteriota. The record is from RNAcentral.